This 936-nucleotide ribosomal RNA is filed under the name Triticum aestivum (bread wheat). RNAcentral's name for it is "partial small subunit ribosomal RNA". Lineage: Eukaryota; Viridiplantae; Streptophyta; Magnoliopsida; Poales; Poaceae. The record is from RNAcentral.
AUGAUUGACGAUGCUACCUACCAAUGCCUUGUGAGUUCCACCAACACGACCAAGCACGGUUCAUUUCAGCCACACACAUACAGUACGAGCGAGGCAGGCACAUACCAAGCACGGUCCAUUUCAGUCACACACAUACGAGCGAGGCAGGCACAACUCUGGCGCUCAGCUCAGCUCACAAUGGUCUGCACUCUGCACCGCAGUCAUGCCCCAGAGUUUUACACUACAUAUGUACAGUUACAUAGCAGCAGUGCAAUCAUCAGACAGCUUGCCUGUGAUACACCGUGCGGCUACCACUUAUUACAUCUUCUUGCCAACUCCCACUUAAUCACUUGGCAGGACGAGUCAGGCCGCCGCGUCGUCCACCUGCUGCCUGCGCCGCUUAUUGGACUCCUUGAUCUUCAGCAGCUCGUCGCAGACGAUCCACGGGAAGCUCCAGAACUGCUUCUUUCCAGGCCGGCGGUGGUCCGGGUGAUAGGUCACCCGGUACCACGCCGAGGCCCUCCUCGCCGCCUCCGCCUUCGGGCAGCUCAUGAACCAACCCCGCACCUCCUUGUGCAGGCCCUCGACAGAGUCGAUGAUGCGGUCCUUCAUCUCGAAGUACCUCUUGUUGUCCUUCUUCAAGUACAGGAGCCUGUUCCGGAUGUUGCCAGUCAGGAUCUCGUCCUCGUGCUCCGUGCCGUAGUAGACCAUCAGGGUGCUCAGCUUCUCCACGUACAGGUCAUAGCACUCCUCUGCGGAUGCCAGGAAUUCCUCGAAGCCAGGGACCUCCAGGUCGGGAUCAAACGCGGGGCUCGGUUGAGCCGAGGACGAGGUGGCAGGAGCGCUCUGCAUACGGCUCGCAGCCGCUCGGUAGAGCUUGCCGAGAGCUCCGUCGGAGAUGUACGUUGGUUUGUCCCACCGUUCCAUGAAGUCGGGGUACUCCUUUGGUCUCAGUGA